GUUUCAGCAGCCGCGGUAAUACGAAUGGGGCAAGCGUUGUUCGGAAUCACUGGGCUUAAAGCGUGCGUAGGCGGAUUUGCAAGUCAGAAGUGAAAUCCCAGGGCUUAACCCUGGAAUUGCUUUUGAAACUGCAAGUCUAGAAUCUUGAAGAGGUUAGCAGAAUUCCGAGUGUAGAGGUGAAAUUCGCAGAUAUUCGGAGGAAUACCAAUGGCGUAGGCAGCUAACUGGGCAAGUAUUGACGCUGAGGCACGAAAGCGUGGGGAGCAAACAGGAUUAGAUACCCUCGUAGUCC
RNAcentral lists this ribosomal RNA (292 nucleotides) under uncultured bacterium. RNAcentral describes it as "partial 16S ribosomal RNA". It matches the Rfam family "Bacterial small subunit ribosomal RNA", at positions 505 to 796 of the family's 1533-position model. The record is from RNAcentral.